Molecule: ribosomal RNA, 443 nt
Filed under: uncultured bacterium
Lineage: Bacteria
Description: partial 16S ribosomal RNA
Rfam family: Bacterial small subunit ribosomal RNA
Source: RNAcentral
CCUACGGGAGGCUGCAGUGGGGAAUAUUGGGCAAUGGAGGAAACUCUGACCCAGCAACGCCGCGUGAAUGAUGAAGGUCUUCGGAUUGUACAGUUCUUUUCUAAGGGAAGUAGAAAGUGACGGUACCUUAGGAAUAAGCCUCGGCUAACUACGUGCCAGCAGCCGCGGUAAUACGUAGGAGGCGAGCGUUAUCCGGAAUGACUGGGCGUAAAGGGUGCGUAGGUGGGUUGGCAAGUUAGUAGCGUAACUCCAAGGCUCAACCUUGGAACUACUACUAAAACUGUUGGACUUGAGUGCAGGAGGGGCAACCGGAAUGUCUGGUGUAGCGGUGGAAUGCGUAGAUAUUAGGAGGAACACCGAUUGCGAAGGCAGCUCACUGGACUGCAACGGACACUGAGGCUCGAAAGUGUGGGUAUCAAACAGGAUUAGAUACCCCGGUAGUC